RNAcentral lists this ribosomal RNA (804 nucleotides) under uncultured Actinomyces sp. Its description in RNAcentral is "bacterial SSU rRNA". It matches the Rfam family "Bacterial small subunit ribosomal RNA", at positions 64 to 857 of the family's 1533-position model. Lineage: Bacteria; Bacillati; Actinomycetota; Actinomycetes; Actinomycetales; Actinomycetaceae. The record is from RNAcentral.
GAACGAAAAUACCAAGCUUGCUUGGUUGAUUAGUGGCGAACGGGUGAGUAACACGUGAGUAACCUGCCCCUUACUUUCUGGAUAACUGCUCGAAAGGGUAGCUAAUACGGGAUAUUCUGACCAUCCUGCAUGGGUUGGUUUGGAAAGGUUUUUUCUGGUGAGGGAUGGGCUCGCGGCCUAUCAGCUUGUUGGUGGGGUGAUGGCCUACCAAGGCUUUGACGGGUAGCCGGCCUGAGAGGGUGGACGGUCACACUGGGACUGAGAUACGGCCCAGACUCCUACGGGAGGCAGCAGUGGGGAAUAUUGCACAAUGGGCGCAAGCCUGAUGCAGCGACGCCGCGUGAGGGAUGAAGGCCUUCGGGUUGUAAACCUCUUUCGUCAGGGAACAAGGCAUUGCCUUUUUUGGUGGUGUUGAGGGUACCUGGAUAAGAAGCGCCGGCUAACUACGUGCCAGCAGCCGCGGUAAUACGUAGGGCGCAAGCGUUGUCCGGAAUUAUUGGGCGUAAAGAGCUCGUAGGCGGCUGGUCGCGUCUGUCGUGAAAACUUCCGGCUCAACCGGGGGCUUGCGGUGGGUACGGGCCGGCUAGAGUGCGGUAGGGGUAACUGGAACUCCUGGUGUAGCGGUGGAAUGCGCAGAUAUCAGGAAGAACACCGAUGGCGAAGGCAGGUUACUGGGCCGUUACUGACGCUGAGGAGCGAAAGCGUGGGGAGCGAACAGGAUUAGAUACCCUGGUAGUCCACGCUGUAAACGUUGGGCACUAGGUGUGAGGCUCCUUUCACGGGGGUUUUGCGCCGUAGCUAACG